RNAcentral lists this ribosomal RNA (459 nucleotides) under uncultured bacterium. Its description in RNAcentral is "partial 16S ribosomal RNA". It matches the Rfam family "Bacterial small subunit ribosomal RNA", at positions 338 to 795 of the family's 1533-position model. The record is from RNAcentral.
CCUACGGGUGGCAGCAGUGAGGAAUAUUGGUCAAUGGACGAGAGUCUGAACCAGCCAAGUCGCGUGAAGGAUGACUGCCCUAUGGGUUGUAAACUUCUUUUAUAUGGGAAUAAAAUGUUCCACGUGUGGGAUUAUGUAUGUACCAUAUGAAUAAGGAUCGGCUAACUCCGUGCCAGCAGCCGCGGUAAUACGGAGGAUCCGAGCGUUAUCCGGUUUUAUUGGGUUUAAAGGGGGCGUGGAGGGGAUUUUAAGUCGGUGGUAAAAGUUGGGGGUUAAACCUAAAAAUGGCAUUGAUAAUGGCGGCCUUGAGUACAGUCGAGGUAGGCGGAAUUCGUGGUGUAGCGGUGAAAUGCUUAGAUAUCACGCAGAACUCCGAUUGCGAAGGCAGCCUACUAGACUGCCACUGACGUUGAUGCACGAGAGUGUGGGUAUCAAACAGGAUUAGAUACCCGGGUAGUC